This 723-nucleotide ribosomal RNA is filed under the name Triticum aestivum (bread wheat). RNAcentral describes it as "partial small subunit ribosomal RNA". The record is from RNAcentral. Lineage: Eukaryota; Viridiplantae; Streptophyta; Magnoliopsida; Poales; Poaceae.
AUGGUCUCGCCAUUCCGGCUCCAGGCAGAGGCUUACGCACACCUAAGGUUCAGCUCCAUGCUUUCACUGCUGCUGUUCGGGGAUCACCAAGCCAGCGCCCCACCAAAACCACCAUGGUCGUCCCUUGUGCAAGAACAGAUCGGUGGGGAUGGAGAUGAGGUCACCACCUUCACCAAGGUCUUCCAAGUCAGGUGGUGCAAGCAUAGUUGGUGUGCAGUGUUACCGUGUUCAUUGUCAAUGAAGGUGGUCACAUCCCAACCAUGGUCGCCAUCUCCACGCGUGGAGCUCUAUGCCAGGGGAGUAGGCCAGCCGUCAUGGCUACCACCAGAAACAUACACUGUGUUGUUGCUGUCAAGGAAUGAUUCUAUUAUGCCAGUGAUUGAGCUGAAGCCAUGGCCGGAUCCGCGACAGAGUGAAGGUAGUGGAAGUGUGGUGAACAAACUGCAACAGUAUGGAUUUGGGAUGUCGAAUUGGGUCCAUGUGUUCGUUUGGAGGAAGGCUGGGGCAAGCAACCUUGGGAACAAUUACAUUAAGAAGCAAUUGAGGGUGGUUGUCCUGGACUUUCAAAGGGUAGCACUUGGGUGUUGCUCACAUGCCACAAGCUGGCAACUGGAGUUCCUGAAGCUCUAUGAAGUGACAAAGGUCAACGAGAACAGAACACCGAGACUAUGUGCAGAUAACAAGUUUCUCCGGGCAACAAAAUACAAAGGGUUUGAUUACUAG